GAAUGUGAGGGUAAUCUGGCUGCAACAGCUGUCACCCCUUGAUCGCCAGGAUUGAUUUGGCCAACCUUGCUGGCCAGGUAGGUAUCACCUUCCUCCCUCACCGCUCCUAGUGCAUCCCUCCCAAAGCUGCAUGCUCAGUCGAAGAGGACGAUCUUCCCCGAUACCAGAGAACCAUUACUCGGUGGAGGGUAUCCCGUAGCUGCACUCCCCUGCUAAAACCACCAAACAAGCUCCAAGGAAGACCCUGUCUCAAUUUUUUUUUUAAAGUUGGUAUGUGGUGCUGAGGAUCGAACCCGGG
This 298-nucleotide small nuclear RNA is filed under the name Spermophilus dauricus (Daurian ground squirrel). RNAcentral describes it as "7SK RNA (ENSSDAG00000019895.1)". It matches the Rfam family "7SK RNA", at positions 1 to 285 of the family's 331-position model. From Rfam's summary of the family: 7SK was discovered as an abundant small nuclear RNA in the mid-70s but a possible function has only recently been suggested. Two independent studies have found that 7SK RNA binds the CDK9/cyclin T complex (known as elongation factor P-TEFb). The record is from RNAcentral. Lineage: Eukaryota; Metazoa; Chordata; Mammalia; Rodentia; Sciuridae.